Molecule: long non-coding RNA, 809 nt
Organism: Mizuhopecten yessoensis (Yesso scallop)
Lineage: Eukaryota; Metazoa; Mollusca; Bivalvia; Pectinida; Pectinidae
Exons: 2
Source: RefSeq, a predicted model, not a curated record
CUGAACGUCAAAUGAAAGUGAGGCUUAUGAGAAAACAAACGUCAAUGCUUUGAAGGUAGCUCAACUGGAUUUAUCAAGAUGCAGACUUUUGUAGUUUUAGGUGUCAUCGGAACGACACUCUCCGUCAUAAUGAAAGAAACGUCAGCAGUUUUACUCAAACUCGGAAGUUUAUGGGAAUUUUGCAUAUUUCUGUGGUCGAUGAUCUUUAUCGUAUUUCGGAAAGAGGCCAACGUGCUGAUGACUGGAUAUGCAGCUUCUGUUGCAUUCAUGUUGGCGGUUGGUUAUUUGCUACUCCAUAACUUUGUUUUACCGAAGUAUCUUCCACGAUUGAGAUCGAAAGUUCUCAAACAACUUGCCAAGAUAGUGCUUUCUUCAACGGCUCCAGUUGUGGCACUGUUAUACAUGUGGUUCCCUUGUCAAAAGAAGAUGUCAUGUCUUUUCGGUUUCCUGUUUCCCAUUGACUACGACGCUAGCAAAGAAACCUGUCCUUAUGGAACUGUGAUCUUGGCCACAGUAAUGACUUUGUUAGUCAUUAUCAGACAACAGGAUAUCGUAAAAGGGACAAAAAAAGUUUCAGUGGAAAAAACAGUAAAGGUGGAAAACUCAGAGGAUUUGUACCGCGUGUCACCCGGCCCACGUCGAAGUUCGAGAUUACUAAAAAUGUGAUGAGUCAACCGAUGACAAGAUGAAAAUAUGGCAAAGCAAUUUCCUAUGAUGAUCUAGACGAACGGAGCUGUAUUGAAGAACUUAGUCAAAUGUAAUAUUAAAACCGUAAAGCUAAUCCAACUAAUAAAUCUUCAUUAUAACAA